GAUAUCCUACGUGGGGCAGCAGUGGGGAAUAUUGCACAAUGGGGGAAACCCUGAUGCAGCAACGCCGCGUGAGUGAAGAAGUAUUUUGGUAUGUAAAGCUCUAUCAGCAGGGAAGAAGAAAGACGGUACCUGACCAAGAAGCCCCGGCUAACUACGUGCCAGCAGCCGCGGUAAUACGUAGGGGGCAAGCGUUAUCCGGAAUUACUGGGAGUAAAGGGAGCGUAGACGGUUAAGUAAGUCUGGAGGGAAAGGCCGGGGCCCAACCCCGGGACGGCUCU
This 278-nucleotide ribosomal RNA is filed under the name uncultured bacterium. RNAcentral's name for it is "partial 16S ribosomal RNA". It matches the Rfam family "Bacterial small subunit ribosomal RNA", at positions 332 to 627 of the family's 1533-position model. The record is from RNAcentral.